GGGGGAGGGAGGGGCAUCAACGCUAACUCAUCUACACAGGAAGUCCCUCUCUGGGGGAGGGAGGGGCAUCAACGCUAACUCAGCUACACAGGAAGUCCCUCUCUGCGGGAGGGACGGGCAUCAACGCUAACUCAGCUACACAGGAAGUCCCUCUCUGCGGGAGGGAGGGGCAUCAACGCUAACUCAUCCAAACUCAUCCAGACCCAGUGAAGCAACUCCGCAGGCGCCUCCUGCAGCAGGACACGGCCAGUGGCAAUCUGGGCAGCUUCACGUCUCCCACGUGAUGAGAACCAGGGACGCUGGUCAACACCCAGACUCUCAUCUGCCACGAACAGAGUUUGUCUCUCCGUUCAGUGCUGCCGGGGACCCAGGCACCAGGACUCCCUACCCCUCCAUGGGAGAGGCUCAAGCCAGUAGAGCUUCACGCCAAGAACAUCUGAAACAGAGGCUAUCCCACUUUUCCAGGCUUACUUUUAGUAAUUUCUGUAGGUUCCUCGUAAAGUUAGUUGCAUUUGCAGCGUCUCCUGUCAUUCUGUGGUAUUGCUUGAUAUCCCUCAUUAUAAUCAGCGGCCGGUCUGCAAUUAUGUCAGUGUCUCGGUCACCAGGCUGGACUACGGUGGUGCAAUCAUGGCUCAUUGCAGCCUCGACCCCCUGAACUCAAGCACUCCUCCCACCUCAGCCUCCAGAGCAGCUGAGGCUACAGCUUGCACCAUCUCUAUCCCAUCUUCAUGUAACUCGGAGGCCUGUAACCCUUGGCAUCUGGCUGCAGCCUCCUGACAUUAGUUCAACAGAGCACAGGCGGAUGUUCUGAGCUUCAGGUUUGUCCUCGCCAGGUCCCUUGAUUGGAAGUUGGUCUCUGUUGCUGUGCCAUGUGGAUGACUGCAGUAUACAUUUAAUAAUCACAGUCACAAGCUCCUUCAUUGCCAGCCCUCAACACACAAAAGUAUUCAUUUGGGUAACUUUGAACAAUGCACAUUUUCCUUACUUGCACUUUGGAUCACAGGAUAAGAAGGGGGAAAUGGUAAAAACAAAAACUCACAAACCAAAUGAAACAUUUAUCUCUGGGAUCAAGGAUGCUUCACGGAAGGGGGACCUGGCGGUCUACAGGUUACAGCUGGAAGUCACUGCCUGCUUUGCUGUGGUGGUAUCUUCUAGGAUUUGGUCUUUGUGGAAGCCUCCAUAUUAAAACAAAGGAGAAGAGGUGAAUGUUCCGGACUGCAUGCCCACAUGGAGAAUCUGAGGGGAGGAGAAGAAUGAAAGACUUCGAAUGGGAAAUUGCUUUGAAAUCUAUUUCCCCAAAUCUACUUAACCUUAGGCCAGGAGAAUAUUGUAUAUCACAAACUAAUUUUGCAAAUGACAUUUCAAAGAUCCCUUUUUAACCUAAUUUAAGUGCAUUCCAUUGUGAUUCUCUACUAGCUGCUUGUGAAUAAAAAUCUAAUUACUGUAGCUAGACAAAAUUCUUCUGGAUGGAACAACCUUUCCUUCCUUCUUUCCUUCCUUCCUGGGAAUGCCAAAGAACAUUGCUUGAUCUUUUAGCAAGCAAAGGCCAAGGUACACAAUUAUUUUGGAGGGCCUGAAAAAGUAUUUCUGUUCUUGUACAUUUCUGUUGAGCCGUAUCUGAAUUCAUGGGGCCUGCUGCCUCUGUAACAGCUCUGGAAUAGUUGUAAUACUACAGGGGCCAGUGACUGCGCCUGCAUUUUAACUAUGGUGCCAUCAAGUGGUCAUUCUUAACAGAGCUGGGCUCUUUAGUCAAGCUGGUAGUAGAAAUUUCCAAGCCCUUCAUUAAGAAAUUUAUAUGUUUGGCCGGGUGUGGUGGCUCAUGUCUGUAAUCUCAGCACUUUGGGAGGCCGAGGUGGGUGAAUCACCCAAGGUCAAGAGUUUGAGACCAGCCUGGACAACAUGGUGAAACCCCGUCUCUACUAUAAAUACAAAAUUAGCCGGGCAUGGUGGCAGGUGCCUAUAAUGUCAGCUAUUUGGGAGGCUGAAGCAGGAGAAUCGCUUGAACCCGGGCGGCAGAGGUUGCAGUGAGCCAAGAUUGUGCCACUGCACUCCAGCCCGGGUGACACAGCGAGACUCCAUUUCAAAAAAAAAAAAAAGAAAUUUAUAUGUUUAUUAAAAAAUUGAACUGUAACUGGGCAUGCUGCAUCUUUAAUGUAUCAGAAUUCAAGGUAAAUAAACCCCUUUCCAAGCCUUUAAAAUCCGUAUAAAAAUCUAGCCAGAGUUUCUUUUCUCCACCUCCCUGUAUGGCUUAUUUGCUGUUUGUUUCUUUCCCUCAGGGACCAUAUUUUCCUGCGACUGGCUCUUGGCUUGGCCCAGUCACUAAUUAUUUGCCUCAGUGUCUUGCUCUACUUUUCUUGGUCCUCAUUAUUUGAUUUACUCAAAUUCUUGGUACCUUGUUUAUGGGAAAACCAUGAGGAAAGGUUCCAAGACCUCAAGUUUAAUUUAGCUCAAAAGUGAAGAGGUUGUUGUGUGUUUCCUUUCCUGUUAAAAGAACAGUCACGUUGACGUCCUCUCUCCUCACAUAUGACUUCUGCAGAGAUUGAAAGGCUGGGUGUAGUGGCUGAAGCCUGUAAUCCCAGCACUUUGGGAGGCUGAGGUGGGCAGAUUGUUUGAGGUCAGGAGUUUGAGACCAGCCUGGCCAACAUGGCGAAACCCUGUCUCUACUAAAAAUACAAAAAUUAGCUGGGCGUGGUAGCGUGUGCCUGUAGUCCCAGCUACUCAAGAGACUGAGACACAAGAAUUGCUUGAACCCAGGAGGUGGAGGUUGCAGUGUGCCGAGAUCACGCCACUCCAGCCUGGGAGACAGAGUGAGACUGUCUAAAAAAAAAAAAAAAAAAAAAAGAUCCAAUCAUCUGUCUUUCUUUUCAAGUUUGUCCUCCAAACUAAUUGGAAGAUUAGUAUUUGAAAGGCAAUAGAAAAUCAGACUGAAAUUUCAAAUACAUAAAAAGGAGUUGUUCCCAUUGUCUGUAAGUGUGAAAGCGCCGUAAAGGUAAAUGUCACGGUGGAAAAAAGUCCAGAGGCUACAAGGGAACAAGGCCUCCUGCUCGGAGAGCCUCACUCCUGCAUGUCAAAUUUUCAGGUUAGUUGCUGCGACGAUUUCUUGUAUUUCUAGACGUUUCCCAGACAUACACAAAAAUAGUUAUGUAAUAAUUUCUUCCUCCUUUUUAAAAAAUCCAAGGCAUCAAAUUGUGUGCUCUCUUCUGCAACUUGGUUUCUUAACAUAUUUCUUGGAAAUCUUUAUAAGCUGUUAUUAUAGUUCUACUUCAUUCUAUUGUAAUUAUUUAAAAUUAUUAAAAUUAAAAUACUUGGUAAAAAUAAACAUGCACUUGCGAACAGAAAGUCACAGUCAUGCCACGCCUCCUCAACAACCUACUGGUAACCAGAGGCCAUUGCUUUGAGCUCUUUCUAUUUUCAAUUCUAUUGGCAGGAACCUGCAAAA
Pongo pygmaeus (Bornean orangutan) is the source of this 3439-nucleotide RNA transcript. It is a transcript of the gene named galanin receptor 1, with no coding region annotated. Lineage: Eukaryota; Metazoa; Chordata; Mammalia; Primates; Hominidae. The transcript has 4 exons. The record is from RefSeq and is a predicted model, not a curated record.